This is a long non-coding RNA of Sarcophilus harrisii (Tasmanian devil), 1598 nucleotides long. The record is from Ensembl. NCBI's taxonomy places the organism in Eukaryota, Metazoa, Chordata, Mammalia, Dasyuromorphia, Dasyuridae.
GGUGGCAAAAGCAAUUUGGAAGCUUAAGGCAAGUCUUUAAAAGAGAUGAGUUCAAGAAAGAUGAUGCAACUUUCAUUUAAAUAGAGAUUAUGAAAAAUAUAAAAUUGCAUCAAUAACUUAAAAAAGGGGUACCACUUUAAAAAGUCUGCACUAUUGGAAGAUAAGGGCUCAUGAUCUUAAUGCCAGCAUUAAGAUAUAUAAUAAGCAACACAAUGCUAAAUGGUGAUAGGAGAAAUUCAAUAUUUACAGAAAGAUAGUGAUGUCAACAUGUGAUUGAAUCUACUUUUAUUUAGUGAUAUGCCAAAACCCUUUGCUCCAAGUGCUACAUUAAUAUCAUCAGACUAUCCCAAUCAAAAUACAAGUGCAGAAGUAAGAAUCAGUAAGGAUUUUAUACAGUGGAGAUCUUAAUAUAUUAUUUUAAGAACUCCUCAAAAGGUUAUUUCCUUAAGGGUUAUAUGAGCAGUGUUUUGUGUGUGUGUGUGUGUGUGUGUGUGUGUGUGUGUAAACAUGGGAGUCAGAGAAUGCCAAAUACUAACCAAGGUAAGAAUAAUGCAUUCAAAAUACUUAAUUAUAGAAAAGAUCAACAUGAUCUUUGCUCAUGUAUUAAUAUUUAUGAUCUUUUGAACACACUUCUUAUCAUGCAUGACUUCAAAUAUAUAUCAACAAUUUUAUUUUGAGAUACAGGAUAUUAUCUGUCCUAUCUAUAGUCAUACUGAACAUUAUUUCUUUCUCCACAAUCAAAUACAUUAUACACAAUUUCAAUAUAAUUACCUCAGUGAAACUUCAGUUCAUUUACUGAACUGGAGAUGAAACCGUUGGGGAUUUCCCCCCUUGAAAUACAUAACAUAAUCCAUUACUUUAUUAUAACUAAAUACAUUUUUGGAAGUUCAUAAAUGGAUGACAAUAUGGCUAUGAAAAAAAUCCAGGAAAUUGGUGUCAAAUGACAAUACUUUCCCCAGUUUUAUUUCAAACACAGAAUGACGAUACCAUUUUGGUAGGAAGCCUAUUUUAAAAAAAUAUCCUUACACGAAUUCUUCUUGAAUAAUUUCUAUGAAUCUUGUUGGAAAAUACCAUCAAGAUUAACCAUUUCUUUUUUCCCCUUAGAAUAGCUCAUAGAAUAUAAUAGACUGCUCAACUGCAUAGGAUUAACAUUUCCUGCACAAGCCUGUCCUUUCAUCACCCGGAUUUUUUUUCCCCAGAAACAACAAAAAAGGCACAUAAUACAGAUAAAGUAGAUAUGUGAAACAUGCUUUUUUUUUUCCUUUUAAAAUUCAAUAAUCACCUUUGUAGCUGCUUCUUCAUCGUCUCCAGUAUGACCGGCUGCUAAGUCUGUGAAGACGCUACAGUAUCCCCUUUUUUGAAUAACUUUUUAAAAUCCCUGAAUAAAACAGAAGCCAACCUGUGACUUCUUAGGAGCUUUAGUAGAAUAUUUUAAAGAAAUAAACCACAACUUAAACUCAUUCAAUACAGAAAAAAAAUCUAAAAAUAGAUCUGGGACAGAAUGUAUAACUAUCAAAUUUUAAAAACAUUUAGGAAAGGAGGAAAGAAAACCAAUUGUUAGCAUAUAAAAGGAUACUGUAACUUUAACAACUGGAAAC